UACGGGGGGGGCAAGCGUUGUUCGGAAUUACGGGGCGUAAAGGGCUCGUAGGCGGCCAACUAAGUCAGACGUGAAAUCCCCAGGCUCAACCUGGGAACUGCGUCUGAUACUGGAUGGCUUGAAUUCGGGAGAGGGAUGCAGAAUUCCAGGUGUAGCGGUGAAAUGCGUAGAUAUCUGGAGGAAUACCGGUGGCGAAGGCGGCAUCCUGGACCGACAUUGACGCUGAUGAGCGAAAGCUAGGGGAGCAAACGGG
RNAcentral lists this ribosomal RNA (253 nucleotides) under uncultured bacterium. RNAcentral's name for it is "partial 16S ribosomal RNA". It matches the Rfam family "Bacterial small subunit ribosomal RNA", at positions 524 to 776 of the family's 1533-position model. The record is from RNAcentral.